UACGUAGGUGACCAGCGUUGUCCGGAUUUACUGGGCGUAAAGCGCGCGCAGGCGGUCCAUUCAGUCGCUGGUGAAAGCCCCACGCUCAACGUGGGAAGGUCCGGCGAGACGGGUGGACUGGAGGCAGGGAGAGGUCGGUGGAAUUCCGGGUGUAGUGGUGAAAUGCGUAGAGAUCCGGAGGAACACCAGAGGCGAAGGCGGCCGACUGGACCUGACCUGACGCUGAGGCGCGAAGGCGUGGGGAGCGAACGGG
This 253-nucleotide ribosomal RNA is filed under the name uncultured bacterium. RNAcentral's name for it is "partial 16S ribosomal RNA". It matches the Rfam family "Bacterial small subunit ribosomal RNA", at positions 524 to 776 of the family's 1533-position model. The record is from RNAcentral.